UUUCUUCACUUUCAAGGUUCUUCAUGGCCUAUUCCCAUCCUUCCUAUCAUCUCUCAUUCGGUCUCAAAAGAUCCCUCCUCAAAACUCUCCUUUGCCAUGAUGCCUACAAGAAACCUGACAGCAUUAAGCUCUUGGAGUGCUAACCCCACUGCCCAUCACGCCUCGCUGAUGAGAGCAUUGCUAUAAAUAUCUUCUGGUCCCUUUGCAACUGAGAUAACAUUCAACCCAAAUCCCAGUUCAUUUGUGUGAGCUGAGGCUGCUGCCGAUGUCCAGCCACUGGAGGAUUUUUCUUCCCUUUUUUCUGAGAAGCCAGUUUCAUGUGGUUUAU
Gopherus flavomarginatus (Mexican gopher tortoise) is the source of this 328-nucleotide long non-coding RNA. RefSeq lists it as uncharacterized. The record is from RefSeq and is a predicted model, not a curated record. The transcript has 3 exons. NCBI's taxonomy places the organism in Eukaryota, Metazoa, Chordata, Testudines, Testudinidae.